CCUACGGGUGGCAGCAGUGAGGAAUAUUGGUCAAUGGACGCAAGUCUGAACCAGCCAUGCCGCGUGCAGGAAGACGGCCCUAUGAGUUGUAAACUGCUUUUGUACGAGGGUAAACGCAGACACGCGUACCUGUCUGUAUGUAUCGUACGAAUAAGGAUCGGCGAACUUCGGGCGAGCAGCCGCGGUAAUACGGAGGAUUAAAGCGUUAUCCGGAUUUAUUGGGUUUAAAGGGUGCGUAGGCGGUCGGAUAAGUUAGAGGUGAAAGCCCGAGGCUCAACGUCGGAAUUGCCUCUGAUACUGGUCGGCUAGAGAGUAGUUACGGUAGGCGGAAUGUAUGGUGUAGCGGUGAAAUGCUUAGAGAUCAUACAGAACACCGAUUGCGAAGGCAGCUGACCAAGCUACUUCUGACGUUGAGGCACGAAAGCGCGGGGAGCAAACAGGAUUAGAUACCCGGGUAGUC
This 460-nucleotide ribosomal RNA is filed under the name uncultured bacterium. Its description in RNAcentral is "partial 16S ribosomal RNA". It matches the Rfam family "Bacterial small subunit ribosomal RNA", at positions 338 to 795 of the family's 1533-position model. The record is from RNAcentral.